GGCGCCCACUCCCGGGACAGUAGGAAGAAAGGGGAAGGGCACCAACGUGCAAGGGGCAGGCAUCCAAACUUCAGGAGGAAAGCUUGGUUUCCCCCGGCUCGGCUUGGUCCUCCUCCUCUUUCCGCUGCCUGGGAAACCGCCCUCGGGUGCUCUCUGGCCUCUGGGACAGACAGGAAAGAAAACUCCUAAGCAGGGGAGGAUCUUAUUCCCUGACUCGCUUUUGGUUGCAAAGCCAGUCACCUGACCUCAGAGAUCUUUGCAAGGGUUUACGAACUGCAUCUUGUUGUUUUUCCAAAGCAGGGGUCUGUGGUCUGUGGUCCGGAUGGACACCGACUGACUGAACCGGCGCCUCGCGAUGGGCAUGGAAGCCGCUUCCGCCCCCAAGCCCAUCAGAGGGCCGUGGUCAACGCCCUCCCCCCGCCCCGUUUCCUCAACAGCCCCUCCAAAUCUCCAUCGCCUGCCUCAAGCGGGAUCGUCCUCAUACCGUUCGGGACCCGAAGAGAUCAGAGGCCAGCUAGUCAAGAACUCUCCGUUUCCCGCACCCCCCCACCCCCGUUUGAACGUCCCUCUAUUUCUCUCCACCCACCCCUCCCCUUUCCCUUUGGUUUUCCAGGAAGAGGGAUUCAGCUUGGCAGUUCCAGGGGCCCGGCUCCACGUGGGGUGCCCUGGGAACCAUCUGCUCAGCCUCCCCCAAAGAUCUCGUUCCCUCAGUUUGCCAGCUGCUUUCUCUUCGGCCCGUCUCUUUCCUUAAGCCGCUGAGCACACCCAAGUCUCUCCCGGCAUCCACACCUCUCCUUUCUGCUCCUCCACCACCGCCUUCUCUCUCUACCUUUCACGGCUAAGCUGCUGCCAAAAGACCUCGACUCCUCUCCUCGUCAGCCAUCCAGUCAUCGCCUCGUCUCUCACCGGCUCCUCGAAAGACUCCCCAAAUCUCGUCGCCGUCCCGUCCUGGCAAGAGGCCAGGGCACGCCCUUCGGUUCCUUCGUCUUCCUAAACUCCCUGUGGUGUCUGAGGAAUGCUGCCCACGUCUUCAGUCUCUGCAAGUUCUCUCCACCCUCUUUCUCUGGGGGAUGGCCCCCUCCCCAGGCACGGUCUUCAGGGAACAGGAACCCCUCGGGUCUCAGAGCAAGCUCAUGCGCUCUCCUACGAUUCGACUCGCCCCCCGGAUGCCCAGGGCUUCGGAGUGCGUACGACUGACGUCACCCUGCCCCUGACUCCACGCUGCUUUCUCUAACUGUCUGCUGGACGCACCUCUCAGGAUGUCCGAAGGCUUCUCAAAACCGACGCGUCCAAAAGGGAGCCCGAACAACAGGAAGACGGCAGAUCAGAGAGCAGCUUGAUGGCAGCCCCCCCCCCCGGCCCCCCGCCCGAGCGGACAUCGUGCAGAGGCUUGGACCAGCUGAAAUGACGGAUCGCCCACUUUCCGCGUCACGGACAGAGAUCCUCGGCGUGCAACACGUCGAACCCCACUGACUUCGCACUUGUGACCCACGAAGAAAUACCAGUGACAGUCGCACCUGAGCAGAGGACUCUUCAAGCUUCACCCCCAGCGCUCUCCUGGUCCCACCCCUACCCCGAACCCCAGAUAAACGCCCCAACGUUUUGUUUUCCCUUUGAGGAGGCGGGUUUGAGUUUUACUCCCACCUCCUUGUCUGGCC
This is a long non-coding RNA of Equus asinus (donkey), 1658 nucleotides long. The record is from Ensembl. NCBI's taxonomy places the organism in Eukaryota, Metazoa, Chordata, Mammalia, Perissodactyla, Equidae.